Molecule: long non-coding RNA, 8169 nt
Organism: Chroicocephalus ridibundus (black-headed gull)
Lineage: Eukaryota; Metazoa; Chordata; Aves; Charadriiformes; Laridae
Exons: 14
Source: RefSeq, a predicted model, not a curated record
AUGCAUCAGCCACAUCCAUGCUAUCUCCUAAAGCAGUCAUUCUGAAACCCAAUCUGGGGACAGUGCAGACUAAAUAAAAUUUCAUUUUGAUUUGGCCUCCCGCUGAGAAUGGGACUGCUUUGUUUCAGCCGACAGAACCAGCAAGCCAGAAAGGUUUUGUUUCAAAAAUAGAGAAGCUGCUUCUGACCCAGCUGAUCAAAAAUGCUCUUCUUCGGGAAACAGUGCAAAAUGUCUUCUUUUCAAGGCAAAUGAAUUUGAGGACUGGUGAGAGAGGGAGAAAGGGUCAUUGUGGUGGAGGAAAUAUUUUUAUCUGGGCCUCAGGAAACGGUGGUCUGGCUAGCAACUGCAGUGGUACGGAUGAUUACAUGAACAGUAUUUACUCGGGGCAAAGCACACCAUCACUUACCUCUGCCCCAAAACUCCUGGACUACAAGAACUAAUCAAUGUCUGUGUCCACCUGGAAACAUCCAGUGAGGAAGGACUGUGGAGGCUACUACCCUGAAACAGACCUUCAAUCUGCAGUGAGGUUACCACAGAACUUUAGAGGUGGAAAUACUUGAGAAUUCAAAGAUACAUCCAGCACAGAUCCUUUUAACCACAGUUGUCGUUGCUCUGGUUCUUCAGCCCAAAUAAAAAAGAAGCAGGAUGCAUGAGAUUUCAAAAUUUGACUUCCUAUUAAGCAUGAAACACCUCUUAAAACACACGUUGUGGGUCCAGAAGAACACGUCUUUCAGUCUUUGAGAAGUAUUUAAAAUACUCCAGCAGAUGAAGAUUUGGAUUUGGCUCGCUUGAUGCUGGACGAUUAAUGAAGGAAGCCCUAACUGGACAAAUGUUGGUCUCCUGAGACAAUGUGUUGUUGAUAACAGAAAAAGAUUGACAAUAAGAUGUGGAUGUUCAUCUUUAAUGAACUCUAGUUACCAAAAUGGAAACCAGCUAACUUUGAUGGCGCGGCUGACCACCUUCACAGCAACAGCUGAGUAUUUACUUCUUGAAAUGAGCAAGCCUGUUAACUGUGAAUGCGAAGAGACAAAGCAAGCAAAAAACAAAAAGAGAAGCUUGAAGAGCUUUGCUGCCAUAUCAUCUAUGACACUGUAUCAGCUCCUAGUUUUAGGAUCGAUGAGCGAAUAGGUAUGUAAGAGUGACACUGUUAUUCUACAGAGGAGUUAUUUCAAAGGAAAUAAAGAAAAAAAAAUAAAAGGCAUGUAAAUACAUUCUCAGACACUAUAUAAUGGCAACACUAGAGAGGGAACUUAAUUUGGUCUCUUAAUUUCAGUGAAAUAGUAUUGAGCAGAAGUCUAGAUAAUAACGUCCUUGAUCUUAUCAAGCAUUGCCAUAGUACUAGCAUUGCCAUUUUCCUGUUGAGGUUACUCAUGUGAGAGAAACCACUCUGUUGUACAAGUUAAAGGUUCACCUUCUGUCCUUCAUUUUUGUACUUAAACUAGAUUUGGGCAUUUCAAUGUUCAUGCAAAUUGCAGCAUCUUUCAGAGUUGUGCACUUUACAUUAUAAGACACUUUCUUAAUUGUAGAGGUAAUAGAUAUCAUCACCUUUGUUUAACCAUGGAAGGGCUGAUUUUCAAAUUACUUGAAGUUUUAAUUGUUGUGAUUCUAACUCAAUACUGCCUCCAUGACAUCUCACGUGCAGAAGUUACAUCAGUGUAAACCACUUGGGAUAACAGGCAGAAGUAAAUAGCUUUUCCUCUGUAUAUUCCUAGUAUGCUGGAAAUUGGGAGGCUAGGACUUCUCACAGUGCAGACCAUUUGUUGCUGUUGUUUCCCUCUAUGGAUGCCCAUGCUACAUUCCCUUCCUCCCUUACAUACCAAAGUGAGAAAAAUGAUUCCCUCACUAGCAGGGAUUCAGUGGCCUUCUUUAUCAGGCAAAGGUUUUGGUGCUGUACAAGACUGCUACCUUGGAGAAUAUACGCAGCAUGUCUGGAAAAGCUGCCUGAUCUUCCAUUCCUUCGCUUACCCAAAGCAAGAGAACACACUUGACCCAGGAGCCAACAUCUUGCCUUUCUUCAGCCCUGGCCCUGAUGACCACAUACAGACAUAAGCUGGGGAGUUCAGUCUGCGUGACAUCGAGUCUGUCCACAUAAAAUGGCCUUUCUCAGCAUUAAGUGCUGGCAUUAAAUGACAGAGGUGGAGGAGUUUUGGAAAGAGCUGAAAAAAAACCAAACCUGUAGAUGAAUUUGCACUUCACAGAAGUUUCUGUUAAAAAAGAGACAGAAAGGGACAAAACGAGGCAGGAGGAGAAGCUAACACAGAGGGGAAGAAAUGGCAAAAAUCAAGCAUUAAAUAUUUCCUUUAACUGCAGUCAGGGAUGGAGACUAUAUUUGACCAAACAACCAAAUCCUCCACAAGUCAGGACUAAGACUGGCUUCAUUUUUUAUUUCAGGGCUCCCCAUAGAAAGGAGCCAGUCAGUUAUUCUCUGUGUGUUAAAUGGUAUACCAACAUCACUAAUAGACCAAGCAGAUGGUUUUGUUUUAUUGUCUGAAUGCUGUAAUAUUUUACUGUAAAUAUAGAAAUAGGAUAUUCACUUGCCUUAUACAAGUUCCCAAUGUACUUUAUAAUAAACCAAGUAAUUUUGACAGAAAAAUGUUGACCAACUCUAGCCUAACACCGUUCAGACAAUGAGCUCAAUGCUGGCACAAAUCCCAUCCAUUAAAAAAGUCAGUGGUAUUACAUUUAGUUUUACAAUUUGAAGGAUAAAGACAGAAACGCAAGAGAUGGAGCAAUAAGAACCAUGUGGUCCCUCCUCUUCAAGGGUCUCAUCCAGAGCCUAUUAAGUUAAUGUUCAUACUCCCUUUGAUUUUAAUAGGCUUUGCAUAAGUCAGAAAUUAGUGAAAAUGAAUAGCAGGAAAAAGAAUCAUUCUGUUUACAUUUGUUGGGUUAUAUCCAUAAUAAACUUGUAAAAAAUGAAAACGGUAGAAAACAUUAAAACAGAUCCAAAUACUAACUUUAUUUUAGAAUUCAAGAUGACCUCAUUUCCUGCUCCAACAUAAGUACGUGAUGUCAUGAACAUCAGCAGAUUUUUUCAAAACCUUUACUGAAAACACCCCUUUUCCCAUCAUCGAAUACUUCAUCUUGCUUUCUUCUUGCAGCUGUUCCUUCUAGAGACACGUAUCUUUGGGCAAGCGGUUAUGAAUAUCAGGGAGCAAUCCAGAGCACACCACCACCUGGGGCACCAAAAGAAUACAGAUUGCUCUCGGGGGAACCGCUGGGUGGGAGCUGGUGGUGGGUCAGAAAACUGUCCAGCCAAAGCAGAGUGAUGACGGGUGCUCCAGGGAUCAGAAGCAAGGCCAAACGUCACUCUUCCAAGCAAAGAUUUCUAAACUAACCUAGAUUUUUCAUUCCUAACCCCAGUUAGGAAUUCCUAGUUAGAGCCAGUAGAUUUUAUUCUUACAGUAGGACUAGAGUACUUCACAGAUAAAAUCAAGCGUGCAAAGGGACAAUAAGAUUAGACCCUAAUUCUCCAUUUCACCAGAGAACUGAGGAAAAGACAGAUGGAGUGAUUUGCCGGAGCAACCAGAGCCCUUGGUGGAACUCGAUCCCCUGUCCUGUUCAGAGGCUGCCCUUUCCUGCCUGUGAUGUGAAGGAAACGUAGCCAUUAUCAGACACCUGCAAAAGCCCUCCACCCGGUUUUGCUCGAAGUGACAGAGCCCAGAGGACGAUGUGCGUGUUCCCCGCUAGUCUGUAGGGAGCGCGAUGUAGCCGAUGCAAUUCCCGGCUCCAGCACACCUGCAAGGUCUCAUUGAUCUGCUGCUCGGUGCUCUGAAAACUCAGAAAUCUAUUAUCAGUGUGAGCAUGUGCUUAUUGAUCAGAUUACCUGCUUCUGCUCCCAGCGUGUACCUAAUCGUACCGGUGUACACACACACACGCGCGUAAAUAUGCACAAACGCGUGCAUAUAUGCAGGCAUGUGCACACGGGUUAUUAGGAUGUCUGUAUGUUAAAGGCUUUACAUAUUUUUUUUGUUCCACAAAACCGCACAUAAAUAAAAAGAAUGGACCUUCUCCGUGAAACGUGAGCGCAGAAACACUCACAAGUGGCCAAGAGCUGCUAAAUAAUUAAUCAAUAGAGCAGUGUGGCAGUUUGAAAUGUAAAUGUGAUGGAUGAAGGUGUGAUGCUUGUCAUCAAGCAGAAAAUGAUGUGACUGGAAUGGAUAACCCACGGUACCUGCUGACUGGCAAAAGCUUGGACACAAAGAUAAAGUAAAGCCAUCAGAAAGCAGCCCCGGCAACCCCUAAUUCUUGCCUUUGACCCACAAUUCACUUUCAUGUCCCUGUCCCAGAAGAGAUGUUUAAAAAAAUGAUGAAGAGAGAUCUUGGGGUGGGAAAGGGGAGAGAAAAAAAACCAUCUGAAGAAAUGCUACCUGACAAGGCUGCGGGCUACAUUCUUGAGAACACCUUUCUUUUCUUUAUGUUCUCCUUCUCCUGUUAAAUAAAAAUGCGGCUCCUUUUUUCCCUUUCCUUUCUUCCAAAACUCUCCCGAGCCGUUCCUGCAAGUGGUUCUGUGACUCGGGAGCUGACAACAGCCGCAUGCAAAGGAACAAAGAACGAGAGUGACAAUUCAGAGUGCACGCAGAAACGCAAGCCUGAAAGUGGGAUUUAAAAGUUUGAUGGCUCUUUCUCCCUGGAAGAGAGAAUCCUAUUUCUCACUUCAAGAAUCAUUGCAAGUAGGAAACAGACCCUAGAAUUUGGAGCAAUCUGGGUAAAGGAGUCUGUGGGCUGGAAGAAUGAUCCCACGCCUAACAUCUGCAGUGACCACCAGCAGCUGGCUACAGAAGAGGAGAAGAGGGCGACCUCGUGGCAGAGAGCCCUGGAUCACUGUCCCAGCCUCCAGCAAUUGGCAGCUCAGUGACUUCCUAAGCUGAAAAAUUUGCCUACUUUGCUGUAGUGAUGAUAGUCUUCCUUUGGUCACAAGAUGACAGUGAGAAUGGAUUGUCAAACUGGACCACUACGACAAUUUACUCUGGGGGAGAAAAUCCUGUGGGUGUUUGGAAGCUUUACUACAAAGCUUGGUUUCCAAUCUCCUCUGGAGGACCACACCCAGGACCCUCUUUCCAUCUUAAGCAGCACCUGAAGAACUUUGAAGGUUUCACCAGGUAAUGACUGGUUGGUUUGUGACUGCACCGAGUCAGUAGGAGGAUGGCGAAGCAGACUGGCGCGGCACAGAGUGUGCAGCAGACGGCGGUCGGUGACUCUCCAGUAAGAAGCACUGAAGGUGUGGCUGGUUCUGCUGACCCCACCUCAACAUCCCUUGAGGCGGUGUCCACCGGAGUGGGACAAAGGACAUGAUCAGAGCAGCUCUAAAGUGCUUUUCUUCAUGAAGACAAGGCAAGACUGAAAGACAAGGAAGUGCGACCCAGUGAAGAAGCGUACUGUCACAAUGUGGCACUACGCUGGCAACUGUGGCUGUCAGCAAAACACCCCCCCAUUCCGACUGUCAACACCCAAGUGAAGAUAAGCUUACAAAAAGGUUAGUGCACAUCCUGACUUGAUUUAUUUUUGAGUCAUUUUUGGCCCAGUUUCUUCCUCUCCGCACUUCCUAGAACAACAAAAAGCCAGAGGCAGGUGUUAGGACGGCACUGGUUUUUCUCAUUUAAACUGUAAGGCACCGUAAAAAACAAUCAAUGAUCAUGGAGCAUGCUCUGGAUUUGUCUAAGCAUAAGCGACUCAAAUACUAACAUGUGAAUUUAGUAAAGUUAGAGUCUGUGGAGUGGAGAUAAAUUACAGCAGCAAUUGAAGUUGAAUGUGAUAUAGAAAUCCAACCAGCAGAAGACUGUCUGGAAACAAUUAUUCAGAAAGCUGCUGACCCUCUAUUUCUUUAAAGAGUUAAACAUUUGGAUUGGUUAACUGGCAGCCACAAGAAUAGGCAUAUGCUCUAAUCUUUGAUCCGUAGCUGAAUUUGCAACUCUUUGUAUGAGAAGCAGAUCACAUAGAUUUGCAUAUUUUUAAGGAUCUAUAGGGAGAAAAAGAAGAACAAAAACUGCUCUUCCAAGAUGCCACUUUAAGAUCACACAGUGUGUCACGGGUCCCCCCAAGUACACUAAUGUUCAGAGCCAGUUGCAAGACUCACAGAUUUUAUAAAUGGCCCUAAAAUGUGACAUUCACAUCUGAAGUUUAAUCAGAAUUCCUCCUAGAACAGAGCUGAGGUUGCAUCAUAAGUCUUCACAGAGGUAUGUACGUCUGUCAUUAAAACUUAAUUUCCACAUCCAAAUUUGUGUCAGAACUUUCCUAAAAUCUGAAAGAGCCCAGAGUUAAUAGAUAAAUUAGAAAAUGUUUUGUGACCCAAUGAGAAACUGUUGUCCAGACUCAACUGCAUAAGCAAGUAACAGAUUUCUGCCAAGGUCUUGACAUCAUCUUAGUUUUGGCAAAAUUUUCCUGUGUAGAUGAAAAUUCAGCAGACACAAGAAAACCAUGAAUCACCCCACUGGUAGAAUGAAAGCUAACCAAAUUUAAUUGUGGUCAAGGUUCUUUUCUUGCACAUCUCUGUUUUCAACACCAACUGAAAGAUGUUUACUAAUCACUCAUUUUGCAUUAAUGAUCAUGCUUACGCCACAGGAGAAUUUCUCCACUUGGUAGUAGUCCCCCAGAAGGUAGCUCCUCCUGAUAGAAGUGAGCAGUAUAGUGAGUACUGUGAAGCGAUAAGGCAAUCAUUUCUGCAAAUGUUCUCAGUUGGGGGAUAGUUCAACAUAGUUUUUACUCAAUUUGAAAGAAAUCCCUGCCACUUUACAAGAAGCUUUCUGUCCUGGUUCACCUACACAACACUGUUUGAUACCUACAGAGAAGAUGGUGAUAGUGGUUACUUGUUAUUUACCUAUGGAUACUUCCUAUAUAUCCCAAACAAAAAUAUGGAUUAGUGCAUGGGCCUAUGCAGACAUGUGCAAGGAAAUCAGUGUAAAGAGGACACUCUCCAAAAAAUAUUCUGCCUAACUUUCACGUAGUUCCGCGUUGCGGGGCAUGGAGGAAUGGUAGAGAAGGUAGACUAGAAGCCUGAUUGACACAGGAGGCAGUGCUUCCAGGCACUGUCUGCCUUGUCCUGUUGGCAGGCAAUACUCUGUAAAAGUCCUGGCAAAAAUCCCAUGAAGAGGAGAGGGAGGUGAUGCAUGUUCCUGGAUAAAGUGUAGUAAGAAGGCGAGGUAUGCAAUGGUAUUCAAAAAGCUUCUUUUGAGAGUGAUCAGAUCAUCAACAGGUGAACCAGAACAUGAGCCGGCAACAAUGGCUUGAGUAUCUUAAAGAUUAAGGGAGGGAACAGAGAAAGAGAACAGCACACAACUUUUAACAAGAAAAAUUAAUUGGUGAUGGAGUUUUUGAGAAAGGAUGACCAACCUGGGUCCUGAAAGUGCACACAUUCCACAGGUUAAGCAGACUCCAAACAUAACCCAAAACCCAAGGCUAAGCUUUGCUACUUUUUGCACCUUGCCAACAGCACUAGCGAUAAGAGGUGCUCUUCUGUCACUGGCAGGGCCAUGUAACUGACUUUCCAAACCCUGGAAGCAUGAUGAAAAUAAAGGGCCAAGACUUACCUUCCUUCUUUAUUAGGAUUUUUGUCUUCCUUUUACUAACAUGAACAGAUACUUUUCUUUCUGUGUUUUGUAUACCUUUGGGUGUCCCUUCCAAAGGUCUCUGAAAGAUUUCUGCUCUCUCAGAAACUUACUUUUUAGGGGUUUGUGUAACCUGCUUGUUUUGUGAGAAGGCAGGGUGCAAAAAUGGGGAAAUAGAAAUUGCCUUAAGUGCUGUAUAGUAUAAUUUCAAUUGCUUCACGUAGUUCUUGCUAACCAUAUUUCAUAAAUAUCCGCACAUUAUGUUUGUUGUGGUCAUUGAGAUGACAGUUUUAAACCAAUUUGAAAAUGUAUUGUGAUAUAUUUUGUCAAUGUAAUAUUAUAACUGCACAAAAUUGGUUCUCUCAGUUAGAAGAAACAUCUUAAAAGUUGCCUCUCUACAGUUUAUUCUCUGUAUUUUAACUUUGUACUGCACUACAAGGCCAUUUGCUGAGAAUUUGCUCAUGCACUGUUAAGUGGGAUCCUAGCAUAUCACUACAUUCAGUCAAAAUAUUGAAAGUUAAAACAAAAAACCCUAUAGGUGAUGAAAAUGAGACCCAGAAAGUAGCAUUUCUCUUUACAUCGUGUAAAGCAGAAAAUCUGAAAAUCAUUUCAGUAAAAACAGGUAAGA